GACGAACCGUGCAAACGUUGUUCGGAAUCACUGGGCUUAAAGGGCGCGUAGGCGGUCGAUCACGUCCGGGGUGAAAUCUUUCGGCUUAACCGGAAAAGGGCCUUGGAUACGGAUCGGCUGGAGGGAGGUAGGGGCAGGUGGAACUUCCAGUGGAGCGGUGAAAUGCGUUGAUAUUGGAAGGAACGCCGGUGGCGAAAGCGAGGUCCUGGACAGUUACUGACACUGAGGCACGAAGGCCAGGGGAGCAAACGGG
This 253-nucleotide ribosomal RNA is filed under the name uncultured bacterium. Its description in RNAcentral is "partial 16S ribosomal RNA". It matches the Rfam family "Bacterial small subunit ribosomal RNA", at positions 524 to 776 of the family's 1533-position model. The record is from RNAcentral.